Molecule: ribosomal RNA, 200 nt
Filed under: uncultured bacterium
Lineage: Bacteria
Description: partial 16S ribosomal RNA
Rfam family: Bacterial small subunit ribosomal RNA
Source: RNAcentral
UACGGAGGGUGCAAGCGUUAUCCGGAAUCACUGGGUUUAAAGGGUGCGUAGGCGGCCAUAUAAGUCAGAGGUGAAAGCCUACAGCUUAACUGUAGAACUGCCUUUGAUACUGUAUGGCUUGAAUUAGGUUGAGGUUGGCGGAAUGUGGCAUGUAGCGGUGAAAUGCAUAGAUAUGCCAUAGAACACCAAUUGCGAAGGCA